UCGCGGCCUUGGGCUGCUUCGGCGCCGC
This 28-nucleotide small RNA is filed under the name Bombyx mori (domestic silkworm). RNAcentral describes it as "ovarian small RNA-28784". The record is from RNAcentral. Lineage: Eukaryota; Metazoa; Arthropoda; Insecta; Lepidoptera; Bombycidae.